AGGCCUUUAGUUUCAUUCAGUCUGGUCUUAAGACCAUGUAGGAUUGUUCGGUUUGUUACCUCCAUUUCACUGUUGGAUUUUAGAUGGCUAGCUAAUGUGAGUUUGUAUGUAAUAUAAAAUUUCACACAAAAUUUUUUAAAAUUCUGAUUGUCGAAUUAUCGAUUAUUAUCGAUGAUGAUGGUAUGUGGUAGACCGAAUAUGUAUAUAAUUGACUUCUAAACGAAGUCUUUCAUUUUACUUUCAGU
RNAcentral lists this long non-coding RNA (245 nucleotides) under Elaeis guineensis (African oil palm). Its description in RNAcentral is "long non-coding RNA (EGUI_LNC015166)". The record is from RNAcentral. Lineage: Eukaryota; Viridiplantae; Streptophyta; Magnoliopsida; Arecales; Arecaceae.